RNAcentral lists this long non-coding RNA (4130 nucleotides) under Triticum aestivum (bread wheat). Its description in RNAcentral is "long non-coding RNA (TAES_LNC006768)". The record is from RNAcentral. Lineage: Eukaryota; Viridiplantae; Streptophyta; Magnoliopsida; Poales; Poaceae.
AUUCAUGGAUACAACAUUGAACACGUCAACUCCAAGAGAUCACGAGAUCCCAUGUAUACAUGAGACGCACACAACCAGCAUCGAAAGGUGGGUACCCUCCCUAGCGUUCCACCACCAACCUAACCAGACCACUUCUCUAGAUGUAUCUACCAAGGCGUCGAGGUAGUUCACCUCGGCAACCUCUAGACGGUGGCGUCGAGGUCAUCCACCUCGACGACCUCCAGACAGCGGUAUCAAGGUCCUCCACCUCGACGACCUCCGACGUCGCAAUCACCUGGACAAUAAUCUGUGUGACGCGGUCGCCGGGCUUCACGGCGAAGUCUGUCUCCGAGUGGUUGAAGAGCACGAUGCCCACCGGGUCGUGGUAGUCUGUGUCAAGCACCCCUGUGCCCAGGCCAAGAAAAUGAGAACUUGUUAGUUCGCGUCUAUUAUGAAUCUUCGAAACGGAAAGACACCUACUAAAUGCAUACCCUAGCUAUACGUCUUCAUGCCAUCUUGUUGUUUUGGUGAAUACAAGAAUAUAGUACUCUGUGUAUUUGAGUUUAGAUAUUCCAUGCCAACUUCAAGUAUAUAUGCUACCAUGUAAUCUUUGAACAUUGAUCAAAAUGAGAUUUUGGGCUUUGUCAACCUUACCAUGAUCAGUACUAAAGGUUGCUCAACCUUUCCUUGUAGGGAGCAUUUCUUUCACCUACUAUCUCGUUGUUAAGUGUGGGAAGAAACCUGCAUCCCUUCAGAUAGUCAUCCAUAUCCUGAAGAAAAAAACAGUUUACAUUUUAUUACAGUAUUGCCCAUUAAAAAAUUGUUGCCUACUGAAGAAAAAAGUUGCUGAUAAAUAGCUAUCAAUAUGAACCCACAUAUUAUUAUAGUUUUGCCUGCUGAGCACAUAUUUUUCCUGCUCGUAGCCCUUCUGAAAACAGAUGCCGAAAAAAGCUAGACGAACAAAGAUGUCACAGUAUUUCCUACUUAACCAGUACAGAUGCUGAGAGUAUGUGCGGUAUUUUUCCUACUCAUCUUUCUCUGCGUUGCCUACAAAAAAAAUAACUCCUCUAAUUUGGUUGCCUAGACCCUGAAAAUCAAAAGCUAAUGCAACAUGGAUGCACAUGUGAUUUACUAUUCCCUUCGUGGAACACUAUCUGAAGAUAUCACUAUCCCUAAAAAGGAGCAACAAAGAUUGCUGAUCCACCAGACAUGAGUCGCUCAACGCAUCUGGACUCAUAUUGAAGACAAAAUCUAAACAUUUUUUCAUAAAACACUCUGAAGCUGCUGCAAUUUAUUCCCACAAUUACAUCUAGCAUAUCUAUAGAUGCUAGUACUGGCGAGGAGACCGCCUGAAAUGGAACUACAGGACCAUUUCCACAAUCAACAGCUGCAAAUCUAAAGUGGGUCGACGGAACACAAGGACCAAACGCCCACCAAAUCCUCUAACCGCGCAACAAGCAACGCGCAAAUCACCGACGAAUCAACCAGAUCGGAGCGGAGGCUACAGGGAAAGGCAAGAUUCGGGUAGCCGGGGGGCUCUCGCUCACCUGCUUGAGCAAGGAAGGGAAUCUGAUCCUGCCGCACUCGAGCGGCGGGCGCACAACGGAGACGGCGGCGCGUCAGCGGCGGCAACACAGGCGUAGGCGACAAUGUCGCGGCGCGGGGGCCAGUGCUCGGCGCCAGCAUCGACGCGGCGCACGAAGUCCGUGAUCAGCUCUGGCAACAGGCGGCACCACCUCUCCUCGUCGGCCUGCCCCCGGCGCCCGUGCUCGGUGGCGUCCUCAAGAGCGACCUCGGGUGAGACCUUGGCCUCGUUCCCGCCGACGAUGCCAUCCGGGGCGCACGAGCAGGACGUAAGCCAGGAUGAGCUGCGCCGCCACGCCAUGGUGGAACCUAGGGGGCAGGCGGAUGGGCGGAAGGGGCUGUGAGCUCUCUCCUCGAGAGCUUCCGAGGCAAGUGAUGGGGAGGGAGCGGAUGGGCGGUCGGUGGGGUGGGAAUAGAAUGCGGGGUGGGAGUGGUGGGAGGUGGGAGGUGGGAGAGUGGAGUGACACACUGUUAAGUGCUUUCUUAGAUUAUUUCAACUGCUUAGAUGUCUUGACAACUUAAAUCUAGCGUCGGUACACUUCCUUUUAACUAGGGAUAUGAACUGGCCCCGUUUGAUUCCGAUUAAAGUCCACUAGUGGUAUGAUAGUUCAAAAGAUUUUUUGUUUUUUGAGGAAAAUGAACUGGCGAGCUAGCAAAAACUAACUAGAUGGGACUGGCGAAUGCCAUUUAUUUUUCACUUACAUCCCUAGUUUCAUCUUACCGUUUUAAUUUCUUUUCAGCUGAUGCUGCUUGCCACCAUUUGUAUAUAGCUUGCCAUGCUCGGCAAUAAUUCGUAUGCCGUUUACCAUAUAAGCUUACUGCCUGGAUCAUGCGAUAUCUAUCUCUUACUUAUGUCAAGCGGAAACCUUUCAGGAUGCCAUUCACACUAGGACACAAUGUAAAACCCCGUAUUCUAUUUGUGGAAGCAGCUUGCCAUCCAUGUUACUAGAUGGUAGCAGUUCAGAGGCGACACCGCCGGAGAGCAGUCUGAGCACAGAUAUUAUAGUUCUUGAGGCUCUACUUGAGGUAGAAAGAGAUGGUGUGGCUGCCAUGAAUGAGGUAAUCUUGAUCUUGAGGCGAGAUAUUAUGCAAUUAGCUGCACGCAUUAUGCAAGCAACCCAAGAAUUGGAGGAAGUGAGAAUGCUGCAUCUGAAGACAGAGGAGGUCCUGCUGCUUUUGCUAUUUGAAGCCCAGGGUAAUCCCAGUUCUUCUUAGAUGCCAGUUGAAAUUGUCAUUAGAUUAGUAUACUUGCAUGUUGUGUCAUGUCUCUGAAUGGAUUAUGUUGUAGGACCCUCUAUGUUGUCCAUGUGUUGUAAUGAUCUGAAUUUUUUAGGCGAGGUAAUCAUCAGCACUUGUAUGAUUGACAUAAGGUGAACUAUUUUUCGUGUGAGCACAUUGUAUUGGAUGAAAUAACUAUUUGACACAAAGUAUAUCCAACCUACUGAAUUCAAAGAUCACAACAUUUGUAAAACAUAUUCAUAUAUAAAGGUGGAAUAAAUCUUUGCCGUGGUUUUGAAGAAAUAAAUAACAAAAUGUAGAAUGAUGUAUGGAUAAUCGUAAUUGAAUACAAAUUGGAUUUGAAUUUAGUUGCCAGGGCCUAGGGUAAAUGUGAAUGCUAAUUCUCCCAAAUUUUGAAUGAAGCAGCAAACACCCUCUAUCAUUUUUCGGCUGCCCGAAGCAAGUGUUUGCGAGAUAGAAAUUAUGGUCUACCCCUGACACUUCACAUCCUAAUCGACCUGAUUUCCACUGCUUCGAUAGGGGUAGACUAGUAACUUCAAUCAGACGUGACAUGACCGCCUCUGAGACCAUUCGUACACGAUGGACGCCAAACGUGGUCGGAAAAACACAUUUGAUUCAAGCUCGCCCGAAAGACCCAUGUCUCUCCCUCCAUUUCCCCAUUCAUAAACGGUGGGUGGAAAAACAAACUCUCCUCGUCUGAAAUCGAUGUAGGCAUAUAUUUUAAAUAGGGGCAGAUGUGUAACUUCCCUCAGACGUGACACAAUCACCCUACCUGUCAGCCCCAUUCAUACACUACCAGGAAAAAAGCUACUAGUAGCAUGGAUUUUUUGGCUAUCAGUAGCAUGGGCGCCCUCGCUACUGCUACGGUGCUACAACUAAAUAUUAGCAUUAGCAAUAGCAUGGUUUUUAUCUAGCGCUACUGUUAAAAAAUUAGCAGUAGCGCGUGCUACCCAUCUACUACUAUUCCUAACCCACGCUACUACUCUUCCUAACUACUACUAGCAUGCCAAUCUACCCCACGCUAUUGCUAAGUAAUUAGAAAUUAAAAAAAUUGGAUGCCAUAUUCAUGGAUGGAAAUCAAGACACAUGAAGGUCAAAGAACCAUCUUAGCACUUGCAUUCUUAGCACUUGCAGCAUUCAUGGAUACAACAUUGAACACGUCAACUCAAGGCGUCGAGGUAGUUCACCUCGGCAACCUCUAGACGGUGGCGUCGAGGUAGUUCACCUCGGCAACCUCUAGACGGUGGCGUCGAGGUCAUCCACCUUGACGAACUCCAGACGGCGGUAUCAAGGUCCUCCACCUCGACGACCUCCGGCGUUGCAAUCAC